AGAGUUUGAUCAUGGCUCAGAUUGAACGCUGGCGGUAUGCUUAACACAUGCAAGUCGAACGGUAACAGGCCUUCGGGCGCUGACGAGUGGCGGACGGGUGAGUAACGCGUAGGAAUCUGCCUUAUAGUGGGGGACAACGUGGGGAAACCCACGCUAAUACCGCAUACGCCCUACGGGGGAAAGCGGGGGCUCGUAAGACCUCGCGCUAUGAGAUGAGCCUGCGUUAGAUUAGCUAGUUGGUAGGGUAAAGGCCUACCAAGGCGACGAUCUAUAGCUGGUCUGAGAGGACGAUCAGCCACACUGGGACUGAGACACGGCCCAGACUCCUACGGGAGGCAGCAGUGGGGAAUAUUGGACAAUGGGCGCAAGCCUGAUCCAGCAAUACCGCGUGUGUGAAGAAGGCCCUAGGGUUGUAAAGCACUUUCAAAGGGGAGGAAAACCUGCCGGUCAAUACCCGGUAGCUUGACAUUACCUUUAGAAGAAGCACCGGCUAACUCCGUGCCAGCAGCCGCGGUAAUACGGAGGGUGCGAGCGUUAAUCGGAAUUACUGGGCGUAAAGCGUGCGUAGGCGGUUCGUUAAGUCAGAUGUGAAAGCCCCGGGCUCAACCUGGGAACGGCAUUUGAAACUGGCGAACUUGAGUUGAGUAGAGGGGAGUGGAAUUUCAGGUGUAGCGGUGAAAUGCGUAGAUAUCUGAAGGAACACCAGUGGCGAAGGCGACUCCCUGGACUCAAACUGACGCUG
RNAcentral lists this ribosomal RNA (742 nucleotides) under uncultured bacterium. RNAcentral's name for it is "bacterial SSU rRNA". It matches the Rfam family "Bacterial small subunit ribosomal RNA", at positions 8 to 748 of the family's 1533-position model. The record is from RNAcentral.